Gigantopelta aegis is the source of this 914-nucleotide long non-coding RNA. RefSeq lists it as uncharacterized. The record is from RefSeq and is a predicted model, not a curated record. The transcript has 3 exons. Lineage: Eukaryota; Metazoa; Mollusca; Gastropoda; Neomphalida; Peltospiridae.
AGAAAUAGCUCAAUGGGUCCAUCGACGGGGAUCGAUCCUAGACCGACCGCGCAUCAAGCGAAUGCUAUCACUAGGUUACGUCCCGUUACCAGUUCCAGAAAGACUCCUCCGUACGAGUCGAAUGGUUACGCAAGACCAAAGAAAGCAUACGAUGGCUGUACCCUUACUCAACCCGUCCUAAGAAAUGCAAAAGUGUUUCUUCUGUUUUCUAUGUUUCUGAAUGACAUUUGAUGAUAGUUUAUUUUCACGAAGUCGCGACGGUUAAAUGGGAUUUACUUUGCGACACGUUAUUAAUAACUGUAAACGCAGCGGGAAACCCGCGAUGCAUCUACAUAACCAUUUGCCAGCGUGCUCAAGUUUCUGUUUCUGCAACAGCUGAAUGUGGCUUUAAUGUUAUAGCUAUAAUGCUCCUGCCGAUUCAACGAGUCCUUUUGGAGGCAUUUGCUGCCCAUUCAAGAUGCUCCAUCAACUUUGCGUCCGGUAUUCUAGCUUGGAGCGAAGUGUCAUCAGCUACGGCCAACUCCUGUAUGCACAGUGUAAAUAAAAGCAGUAAUUUACGACAAGCCUUCGGUAUCCGGGAAAGCUGCCUUUCAACUGGAAGUGGAUAUGGUUGAUCUGGAGAUGGACGCUGAUUUGGUGGUGGCAUCUGUGAAAUGCAGAGUGAAAUCCCAUUACACAGUGGUAGUACAUGUCAAAACAAUUGUGGUUAAUAGCCUCUAUUAGAAAUUUGCGAGAAAAGAUAGCCAGAGUUACGUCCGCCUAACCACUUCCGGCGCAUUCCAAUUAAAGCAAGAAUAGCUGAUGACCACAGUUGUUUGUUCAUUUUCAGCUGAGAUUUAUGCAUGCCAGUCCGUGGCAUCAUAAAUGUCCCCACCUAUGUUUCAAAAAUAAAGAAUGAUACAGGUAAAAAUUAA